This 442-nucleotide ribosomal RNA is filed under the name uncultured bacterium. Its description in RNAcentral is "partial 16S ribosomal RNA". It matches the Rfam family "Bacterial small subunit ribosomal RNA", at positions 338 to 795 of the family's 1533-position model. The record is from RNAcentral.
CCUACGGGAGGCAGCAGUGGGGAAUAUUGGGCAAUGGGCGCAAGCCUGACCCAGCAACGCCGCGUGAAGGAAGAAGGCUUUCGGGUUGUAAACUUCUUUUGUCAGGGAAGAGUAGAAGACGGUACCUGCCGAAUAAGCCACGGCUAACUACGUGCCAGCAGCCGCGGUAAUACGUAGGUGGCAAGCGUUUUCCGGAUUUACUGGGUGUAAAGGGCGUGUAGCCGGGUUGACAAGUCAGAUGUGAAAUCCUGCGGCGUAACCGCAGAACUGCCUUUGAAACUGUUGAUCUUGAGUACUGGAGAGGUAGACGGAAGUCCUAGUGUAGCGGUGAAAUGCUUAGAUAUUAGGAGGAACCCCAGUGGCGAAGGCGGUCUGCUGGACUGAGACUGACGGUGAGGCGCGAAAGCGUGGGUAGCAAACAGGAUUAGAUACCCUGGUAGUC